Molecule: ribosomal RNA, 497 nt
Filed under: uncultured bacterium
Lineage: Bacteria
Description: partial 16S ribosomal RNA
Rfam family: Bacterial small subunit ribosomal RNA
Source: RNAcentral
GAUGAACGCUGGCGGCGUGCCUAAUACAUGCAAGUCGAGCGAACAGACGAGGAGCUUGCUCCUCUGACGUUAGCGGCGGACGGGUGAGUAACACGUGGAUAACCUACCUAUAAGACUGGGAUAACUUCGGGAAACCGGAGCUAAUACCGGAUAAUAUAUUGAACCGCAUGGUUCAAUAGUGAAAGACGGUUUUGCUGUCACUUAUAGAUGGAUCCGCGCCGCAUUAGCUAGUUGGUAAGGUAACGGCUUACCAAGGCAACGAUGCGUAGCCGACCUGAGAGGGUGAUCGGCCACACUGGAACUGAGACACGGUCCAGACUCCUACGGGAGGCAGCAGUAGGGAAUCUUCCGCAAUGGGCGAAAGCUUGACGGAGCAACGCCGCGUGAGUGAUGAAGGUCUUCGGAUCGUAAAACUCUGUUAUUAGGGAAGAACAAAUGUGUAAGUAACUAUGCACGUCUUGACGGUACUUAAUCAGAAAGCCACGGCUAACUACGUG